RNAcentral lists this non-coding RNA (134 nucleotides) under uncultured Muribaculum sp. Lineage: Bacteria; Pseudomonadati; Bacteroidota; Bacteroidia; Bacteroidales; Muribaculaceae. The record is from RNAcentral.
UUUGGGGGUGCGGCAGCCUCGGUUAUACAUUAAAUCUACAUUGAUAAGCGCAAUUUGGUUGACAGCAGGCUGCAGCUGAGAUUAUACCCUUUGAACCUGAUCCGGGUAAUACCGGCGUAGAGAAACAAAUAAUU